RNAcentral lists this ribosomal RNA (279 nucleotides) under uncultured bacterium. RNAcentral describes it as "partial 16S ribosomal RNA". It matches the Rfam family "Bacterial small subunit ribosomal RNA", at positions 506 to 784 of the family's 1533-position model. The record is from RNAcentral.
UGCCAGCCGCCGCGGUAAUACUGAAGGUGCAAGCGUUAAUCGGAAUUACUGGGCGUAAAGCGUACGUAGGCGGAUUAAUAAGUUAGAGGUGAAAUCCCAGGGCUCAACCCUGGAACUGCCUUUAAAACUGUUAGUCUUGAGAUCGAGAGAGGUGAGUGGAAUUCCAAGUGUAGAGGUGAAAUUCGUAGAUAUUUGGAGGAACACCAGUGGCGAAGGCGGCUCACUGGCCCGAUACUGACGCUGAGGUACGAAAGUGUGGGGAGCAAACAGGAUUAGAUA